RNAcentral lists this small RNA (96 nucleotides) under Flavobacterium cauense R2A-7. RNAcentral's name for it is "Flavo-1 RNA". It matches the Rfam family "Flavo-1 RNA". Lineage: Bacteria; Pseudomonadati; Bacteroidota; Flavobacteriia; Flavobacteriales; Flavobacteriaceae. The record is from RNAcentral.
CCUUAGCCCUGAUAGUAGCGGCAUCCUUUUCAAAACGGACAUUGAGGCUCUCGAAAUGUCCGUUUUGAAAAGAUAUAGCGGAUAGCAGGAAACAGC